ACCUCGGCGAACUGCUCCCCCACACGUGGAUAAUUUGCCCUUAGGUGGAGGAUAACCUCGGGAAACUGAGAAUAAUACUCCNUAGAUCUAGGAUGCUGGAAUGCAUUUAGAUUAAAAGCUCCGGCGCCUAAGGAUAAGUCUGCGGACUAUCAGGUUGUAGUCAGGGUAAAGACCUGACUAGCCUACAACGGAUACGGGUUGUGAGAGCAAUAACCCGGAGACGAUAUCUGAGACACGAUAUCGGGCCCUACGGGGCGCAGCAGGCGCGAAACCUUCGCACUGUGCGAAAGCGCGAUGAGGGGAUCCCAAGUGCUUGCUCGUAAGAGUAAGCGGUUUUUAUGUCUAAAAAGCAUAGAGAGUAAGGGCUGGGUAAGACGGGUGCCAGCCGCCGCGGUAAUACCUGCAGCUCAAGUGGUGAUCAUUAUUAUUGGGCCUAAAACGUCCGUAGNCCGGUUUGGUAAUGCCUGGGUAAUCGUGUAGCUUAACUAUACGAAUNCCNGGGUAGACUGCCAAACUUGGGAA
Molecule: ribosomal RNA, 522 nt
Filed under: uncultured euryarchaeote
Lineage: Archaea; Methanobacteriati; Methanobacteriota
Description: bacterial SSU rRNA
Rfam family: Archaeal small subunit ribosomal RNA
Source: RNAcentral